This 427-nucleotide ribosomal RNA is filed under the name uncultured bacterium. Its description in RNAcentral is "bacterial SSU rRNA". It matches the Rfam family "Bacterial small subunit ribosomal RNA", at positions 28 to 420 of the family's 1533-position model. The record is from RNAcentral.
GAUGAACGCUGGCGGCAUGCCUAAGACAUGCAAGUCGAACGAGACAAACCUAUUGAAAACAAAGUGCUUGCACUAUGUCGGAUUUAGAAUUUGUCUAGUGGCAGACGGGUGAGUAACACGUGGGUAACCUACCUCAAAGACUGGGACAACAGUUAGAAAUGACUGCUAAUACCGGAUAACUUAUAGAAGGAUAACUUUCUAUACUAAAAGAUGCGUUUGCAUCACUUUGAAAUGGGCUUGCGGUGUAUUAGAUAGUUGGUGGGGUAAUGGCCUACCAAGUCAACGAUGCAUAUCCGAGCUGAGAGGCUGAUCGGACACACUGGGACUGAGACACGGCCCAGACUCCUACGGGAGACAGCAGUUAGGAAUAUUCGGCAAUGGAGGAAACUCUGACCGAGCAAUGCCGCGUGAGUGAUGAAGGCCUUAU